Molecule: ribosomal RNA, 301 nt
Filed under: uncultured bacterium
Lineage: Bacteria
Description: partial 16S ribosomal RNA
Rfam family: Bacterial small subunit ribosomal RNA
Source: RNAcentral
CAGUCGCCGCGGUAAUACGAAGGGUGCAAGCGUUAAUCGGAAUUACUGGGCGUAAAGCGUGCGUAGGCGGUUUGUUAAGUCUGCUGUGAAAUCCCCGGGCUCAACCUGGGAAUGGCAGUGGAUACUGGCAAGCUAGAGUGUGUCAGAGGAUGGUGGAAUUCCCGGUGUAGCGGUGAAAUGCGUAGAGAUCGGGAGGAACAUCAGUGGCGAAGGCGGCCAUCUGGGACAACACUGACGCUGAGGCACGAAAGCGUGGGGAGCAAACAGGAUUAGAUACCCGUGUAGUCCCUGUCUCUUAUAA